AGGUAGCAUAAUCAUUAGUCUUUUAAUUGAAGGCUGGAAUGAAUGGUUGGACGAAAUAUUUACUGUUUCAUAUUAAUUUUUGAUAAAAUUUUAUUUUUUAGUAAAAAAGCUAAAAUAAUAUUAAAAGACGAGAAGACCCUAUAAAUCUUUAUAUUUUAAUUAAUUUUUAUAAAUUAGAAAUUAAAUUAUUUAAUUUAAUUUAAAUAUUUUAUUGGGGUGAUAUUAAAAUUUAAUUAACUUUUAAUUUUAUUGAACAUUAAUUUAUGAAUUAUUGAUCCAAUAAUAUUGAUUAUUAGAAUAAGUUACUUUAGGGAUAACAGCGUAAUUUUUUUGGAGAGUUCAUAUUGAUAAAAAAUAUUGCGACCUCGAUGUUGGAUUAAGAAAUAAAUUUAGGUG
This 396-nucleotide ribosomal RNA is filed under the name Lipoptena cervi. RNAcentral's name for it is "partial 16S ribosomal RNA". The record is from RNAcentral. Lineage: Eukaryota; Metazoa; Arthropoda; Insecta; Diptera; Hippoboscidae.